RNAcentral lists this ribosomal RNA (377 nucleotides) under uncultured bacterium. RNAcentral's name for it is "bacterial SSU rRNA". It matches the Rfam family "Bacterial small subunit ribosomal RNA", at positions 523 to 898 of the family's 1533-position model. The record is from RNAcentral.
AUACGUAGGGGGCGAGCGUUGUCCGGAAUUACUGGGCGUAAAGGGUGCGUAGGCGGCCUUUUAAGUCAGAUGUGAAAGGCUGCGGCUUAACCGCAGGACUGCAUUUGAAACUGGAAGGCUUGAGUGUCGGAGAGGGUAGUGGAAUUCCCAGUGUAGCGGUGAAAUGCGUAGAUAUUGGGAGGAACACCAGUGGCGAAGGCGACUACCUGGACGAUAACUGACGCUGAGGCACGAAAGCUAGGGGAGCAAACAGGAUUAGAUACCCUGGUAGUCCUAGCCGUAAACGAUGGGUACUAGGUGUAGGUGGUUUCGAUACCAUCUGUGCCGCAGUUAACGCAAUAAGUACCCCGCCUGGGGAGUACGGUCGCAAGACUGAA